Molecule: ribosomal RNA, 465 nt
Filed under: Vreelandella stevensii
Lineage: Bacteria; Pseudomonadati; Pseudomonadota; Gammaproteobacteria; Oceanospirillales; Halomonadaceae
Description: partial 16S ribosomal RNA
Rfam family: Bacterial small subunit ribosomal RNA
Source: RNAcentral
CCUACGGGUGGCAGCAGUGGGGAAUAUUGGACAAUGGGCGAAAGCCUGAUCCAGCCAUGCCGCGUGUGUGAAGAAGGCCUUCGGGUUGUAAAGCACUUUCAGUGGGGAAGAAAGCCUUGGGGCUAAUACCCUCGAGGAAGGACAUCACCCACAGAAGAAGCACCGGCUAACUCCGUGCCAGCAGCCGCGGUAAUACGGAGGGUGCGAGCGUUAAUCGGAAUUACUGGGCGUAAAGCGCGCGUAGGCGGUCUGAUAAGCCGGUUGUGAAAGCCCCGGGCUCAACCUGGGAACGGCAUCCGGAACUGUCAGGCUAGAGUGCAGGAGACGAAGGUAGAAUUCCCGGUGUAGCGGUGAAAUGCGUAGAGAUCGGGAGGAAUACCAGUGGCGAAGGCGGCCUUCUGGACUGACACUGACGCUGAGGUGCGAAAGCGUGGGUAGCAAACAGGAUUAGAUACCCUAGUAAUC